Molecule: long non-coding RNA, 173 nt
Organism: Melopsittacus undulatus (budgerigar)
Lineage: Eukaryota; Metazoa; Chordata; Aves; Psittaciformes; Psittaculidae
Exons: 2
Source: RefSeq, a predicted model, not a curated record
CUGUGGUCUGUGUUCUGAACUUUCAUGGUGCCUGCAGGGAUGUAAGCAAAAGUAAAUGAGGGGCUGGUGCCAACUGAGGACUCUUAAAGAAUCACAACCUCCAAAAAAGCCUUUUCCUUUUUUUUUUCUUAUUGCUAUUGCUGUGAGUAUUAGAAUUUUAUUUGACUUUUUAA